UCAUUAAGUUGGGCACUCUAAGUUGACUGCCGGUGACAAACCGGAGGAAGGUGGGGAUGACGUCAAAUCAUCAUGCCCCUUAUGAUUUGGGCUACACACGUGCUACAAUGGACAAUACAAAGGGCAGCGAAACCGCGAGGUCAAGCAAAUCCCAUAAAGUUGUUCUCAGUUCGGAUUGUAGUCUGCAACUCGACUACAUGAAGCUGGAAUCGCUAGUAAUCGUAGAUCAGCAUGCUACGGUGAAUACGUUCCCGGGUCUUGUACACACCGCCCGUCACACCACGAGAGUUUGUAACACCCGAAGCCGGUGGAGUAACCUUUUAGG
RNAcentral lists this ribosomal RNA (325 nucleotides) under Staphylococcus aureus. RNAcentral describes it as "bacterial SSU rRNA". It matches the Rfam family "Bacterial small subunit ribosomal RNA", at positions 1121 to 1446 of the family's 1533-position model. Lineage: Bacteria; Bacillati; Bacillota; Bacilli; Caryophanales; Staphylococcaceae. The record is from RNAcentral.